GGGUUGUGAGGUUAAGCGACUAAGCGUACACGGUGGAUGCCCUGGCAGUCAGAGGCGAUGAAGGACGUGCUAAUCUGCGAUAAGCGUCGGUAAGGUGAUAUGAACCGUUAUAACCGGCGAUUUCCGAAUGGGGAAACCCAGUGUGUUUCGACACACUAUCAUUAACUGAAUCCAUAGGUUAAUGAGGCGAACCGGGGGAACUGAAACAUCUAAGUACCCCGAGGAAAAGAAAUCAACCGAGAUUCCCCCAGUAGCGGCGAGCGAACGGGGAGNNUGUGAGCUCGAUGAGUAGGGCGGGACACGUGGUAUCCUGUCUGAAUAUGGGGGGACCAUCCUCCAAGGCUAAAUACUCCUGACUGACCGAUAGUGAACCAGUACCGUGAGGGAAAGGCGAAAAGAACCCCGGCGAGGGGAGUGAAAAAGAACCUGAAACCGUGUACGUACAAGCAGUGGGAGCACGCUUAGGCGUGUGACUGCGUACCUUUUGUAUAAUGGGUCAGCGACUUAUAUUCUGUAGCAAGGUUAACCGAAUAGGGGAGCCGAAGGGAAACCGAGUCUUAACUGGGCGUUAAGUUGCAGGGUAUAGACCCGAAACCCGGUGAUCUAGCCAUGGGCAGGUUGAAGGUUGGGUAACACUAACUGGAGGACCGAACCGACUAAUGUUGAAAAAUUAGCGGAUGACUUGUGGCUGGGGGUGAAAGGCCAAUCAAACCGGGAGAUAGCUGGUUCUCCCCGAAAGCUAUUUAGGUAGCGCCUCGUGAAUUCAUCUCCGGGGGUAGAGCACUGUUUCGGCAAGGGGGUCAUCCCGACUUACCAACCCGAUGCAAACUGCGAAUACCGGAGAAUGUUAUCACGGGAGACACACGGCGGGUGCUAACGUCCGUCGUGAAGAGGGAAACAACCCAGACCGCCAGCUAAGGUCCCAAAGUCAUGGUUAAGUGGGAAACGAUGUGGGAAGGCCCAGACAGCCAGGAUGUUGGCUUAGAAGCAGCCAUCAUUUAAAGAAAGCGUAAUAGCUCACUGGUCGAGUCGGCCUGCGCGGAAGAUGUAACGGGGCUAAACCAUGCACCGAAGCUGCGGCAGCGACGCUUAUGCGUUGUUGGGUAGGGGAGCGUUCUGUAAGCCUGCGAAGGUGUGCUGUGAGGCAUGCUGGAGGUAUCAGAAGUGCGAAUGCUGACAUAAGUAACGAUAAAGCGGGUGAAAAGCCCGCUCGCCGGAAGACCAAGGGUUCCUGUCCAACGUUAAUCGGGGCAGGGUGAGUCGACCCCUAAGGCGAGGCCGAAAGGCGUAGUCGAUGGGAAACAGGUUAAUAUUCCUGUACUUGGUGUUACUGCGAAGGGGGGACGGAGAAGGCUAUGUUGGCCGGGCGACGGUUGUCCCGGUUUAAGCGUGUAGGCUGGUUUUCCAGGCAAAUCCGGAAAAUCAAGGCUGAGGCGUGAUGACGAGGCACUACGGUGCUGAAGCAACAAAUGCCCUGCUUCCAGGAAAAGCCUCUAAGCAUCAGGUAACAUCAAAUCGUACCCCAAACCGACACAGGUGGUCAGGUAGAGAAUACCAAGGCGCUUGAGAGAACUCGGGUGAAGGAACUAGGCAAAAUGGUGCCGUAACUUCGGGAGAAGGCACGCUGAUAUGUAGGUGAGGUCCCUCGCGGAUGGAGCUGAAAUCAGUCGAAGAUACCAGCUGGCUGCAACUGUUUAUUAAAAACACAGCACUGUGCAAACACGAAAGUGGACGUAUACGGUGUGACGCCUGCCCGGUGCCGGAAGGUUAAUUGAUGGGGUUAGCGCAAGCGAAGCUCUUGAUCGAAGCCCCGGUAAACGGCGGCCGUAACUAUAACGGUCCUAAGGUAGCGAAAUUCCUUGUCGGGUAAGUUCCGACCUGCACGAAUGGCGUAAUGAUGGCCAGGCUGUCUCCACCCGAGACUCAGUGAAAUUGAACUCGCUGUGAAGAUGCAGUGUACCCGCGGCAAGACGGAAAGACCCCGUGAACCUUUACUAUAGCUUGACACUGAACAUUGAGCCUUGAUGUGUAGGAUAGGUGGGAGGCUUUGAAGUGUGGACGCCAGUCUGCAUGGAGCCGACCUUGAAAUACCACCCUUUAAUGUUUGAUGUUCUAACGUUGACCCGUAAUCCGGGUUGCGGACAGUGUCUGGUGGGUAGUUUGACUGGGGCGGUCUCCUCCUAAAGAGUAACGGAGGAGCACGAAGGUUGGCUAAUCCUGGUCGGACAUCAGGAGGUUAGUGCAAUGGCAUAAGCCAGCUUGACUGCGAGCGUGACGGCGCGAGCAGGUGCGAAAGCAGGUCAUAGUGAUCCGGUGGUUCUGAAUGGAAGGGCCAUCGCUCAACGGAUAAAAGGUACUCCGGGGAUAACAGGCUGAUACCGCCCAAGAGUUCAUAUCGACGGCGGUGUUUGGCACCUCGAUGUCGGCUCAUCACAUCCUGGGGCUGAAGUAGGUCCCAAGGGUAUGGCUGUUCGCCAUUUAAAGUGGUACGCGAGCUGGGUUUAGAACGUCGUGAGACAGUUCGGUCCCUAUCUGCCGUGGGCGCUGGAGAACUGAGGGGGGCUGCUCCUAGUACGAGAGGACCGGAGUGGACGCAUCACUGGUGUUCGGGUUGUCAUGCCAAUGGCACUGCCCGGUAGCUAAAUGCGGAAGAGAUAAGUGCUGAAAGCAUCUAAGCACGAAACUUGCCCCGAGAUGAGUUCUCCCUGACUCCUUGAGAGUCCUGAAGGAACGUUGAAGACGACGACGUUGAUAGGCCGGGUGUGUAAGCGCAGCGAUGCGUUGAGCUAACCGGUACUAAUGAACCGUGAGGCUUAACCUUACAACGCCGAAGGUGUUU
Molecule: ribosomal RNA, 2839 nt
Filed under: Escherichia coli
Lineage: Bacteria; Pseudomonadati; Pseudomonadota; Gammaproteobacteria; Enterobacterales; Enterobacteriaceae
Description: bacterial LSU rRNA
Rfam family: Bacterial large subunit ribosomal RNA
Source: RNAcentral